GAUGAACGCUGGCGGCGUGCAUAACACAUUCAAGUCGAACGGGUAGAAGAUGGAACCGAGGAGCAAGGAGACUUGCGACUGGGUUCUAUCUUCUGUCAGUGGCGGACGGGUGAGUAACGCGUGAGCAACCUGCCUUUCAGAGGGGGAUAACACAUGGAAACGUGUGCUAAUACCGCAUAACACAUAGAGAUCGCAUGGUUUUUAUGUCAAAGGAGCAAUCCGCUGAAAGAUGGGCUCGCGUCCGAUUAGGCAGUUGGUGAGGUAACGGCUCACCAAACCGACGAUCGGUAGCCGGACUGAGAGGUUGAACGGCCACAUUGGAACUGAGAAACGGUCCAGACUCCUACGGGAGGCAGCAGUGGGGAAUAUUGGGCAAUGGGGAAACCCGUGACCCAGCGACGUCGCG
Molecule: ribosomal RNA, 406 nt
Filed under: uncultured bacterium
Lineage: Bacteria
Description: bacterial SSU rRNA
Rfam family: Bacterial small subunit ribosomal RNA
Source: RNAcentral